CAGCAGCCGCGGUAAUACGAAGGGUGCAAGCGUUAAUCGGAAUUACUGGGCGUAAAGCGUGCGUAGGCGGUUUGUUAAGUCUGCUGUGAAAUCCCCGGGCUCAACCUGGGAAUGGCAGUGGAUACUGGCAAGCUAGAGUGUGUCGGAGGAUGGUGGAAUUCCCGGUGUAGCGGUGAAAUGCGUAGAGAUCGGGAGGAACAUCAGUGGCGAAGGCGGCCAUCUGGGACAACACUGACGCUGAGGCACGAAAGCGUGGGGAGCAAACAGGAUUAGAUACCCCCGUAGUCCCUGUCUCUUAUAC
RNAcentral lists this ribosomal RNA (301 nucleotides) under uncultured bacterium. RNAcentral describes it as "partial 16S ribosomal RNA". It matches the Rfam family "Bacterial small subunit ribosomal RNA", at positions 509 to 807 of the family's 1533-position model. The record is from RNAcentral.